UCAGACGGCCGGGCGGUCGCGGUCCUCGCAAGAGGGUCGAGGAAAGUCCGGGCUCCACGGAAACAAGGCGGCGGGUAACGCCCGCCCGGGGUGACCCGAGGGAUAGCGCCACAGAAAGCAAACCUCCUCCGCUUCGGCGGCGGGAAGGGUGAAAGGGUGGGGUAAGAGCCCACCGCGGACGUGGCGACACGGACGGCAUGGCAAGCCCCGCCUGGAGCAAGACCGAAUAGGGAUUCCGCGCCUCGUACGUCCCUUCGGGGAUACGGCGGGGCAGGGCCGUUUCCGGCCCGAGGCGUCCGGGUUGGUCGCGAGAACCGUCCCGCGAGGGGCGGUCCAGAGGAAUGAUCGUCGCGCGCCCGCAAGGGCGUUGGCACAGAACCCGGCUUACAGGCCGUCUGAUCCG
This 403-nucleotide RNase P RNA is filed under the name Caulobacter sp. RNAcentral's name for it is "RNase P RNA component class A". It matches the Rfam family "Bacterial RNase P class A". Rfam says of the family: Ribonuclease P (RNase P) is a ubiquitous endoribonuclease, found in archaea, bacteria and eukarya as well as chloroplasts and mitochondria. Its best characterised activity is the generation of mature 5'-ends of tRNAs by cleaving the 5'-leader elements of precursor-tRNAs. The record is from RNAcentral. Lineage: Bacteria; Pseudomonadati; Pseudomonadota; Alphaproteobacteria; Caulobacterales; Caulobacteraceae.